Non-coding RNA from Nephila pilipes (giant wood spider), 64 nucleotides. The record is from the annotation of a GenBank genome assembly. Lineage: Eukaryota; Metazoa; Arthropoda; Arachnida; Araneae; Nephilidae.
UGUAGCGCAGAGGAUAGCACGUUGGGCUUCUAAUCCAAAAGUCGUGGGUUUGAAUCCCAAAAAA